AUAAUCCAGAAGCAAGGCCGCCCUAAGGAAUCACCGGACCCGUCCCUCUCACCUCCUUCAAGCUGCAGCUCCGAAUCCCAACGUGUGCGGAACUGAAAGGUGGCCGACACGUCUCCGGAGGGGAGCGGAGUGAGGACUAGUUCCUCCCGCAGGCUAUCCCGCUCUGGCUCUGCCCUGCUCUGGCGGCCCAGGCCCAAGAGCAGAGCCAACAGCAGGUGCAGCACGAGCGGCGCCGCCAUGGCCAUGGCCGCGGCCGCCUCCGCCGUGGCCGCCACGCAGAACCCGCCCCCAAGGGCCCAUGUCCAAUAGCGAGAAUGAAUGGCGGCGACUUCCGGGAGAGGCGCCGGGUACCCGGAUUGGGUUACCAGGGCGACGCCUGGCAGGAGGUGGGGCGCGCUUCACUUCGCGGAGGCUGCCGGGAGAGAAAACCGACGGAGAGCGGAGUCUCUCCUCGAUUGGGCGCAGUCGUCGUUGUCAGGGUCUUCGUGCGUCGAGCUCCCACUUUUACCCGGGUCCCAGUCUAUAAAAUGAGACCCAGCUUUUUUUUUUAAAAUAUGAAGACCUUCCUUUUAACAAAAAUUUCCCCAAUGAGAGCAUUAAUAUCGCUGUGGAUAUCAACACCCACCUUUUUCAUCGACCACCUCCUGUAAAAAGCUUCCUCCGUUGGUGCUUCCGCUCCCUCUCCUCUCCCUCUAACAAACUCUUUACAAUCAGCCAUCUGACCGUACCCCCCAAUCCGUCAGCCAACACCAAUGAGCAUUUAGUAAUUGCCCGCCGCACGCCAGGAAUGGGGGAAAAAAAGAUGCAGAGGUGACAUUCUAACAAGGAAGACAAGAAGUACAUCUUUGUGUAUGUGUGUGAUGUGUGUGUAUGUAUACACGAAUAGACAACAUACACGCGUACAUAUAUGGUAAUAUACAUGUGUAUGCGUAGUCAUGUGCAUGUAGGAAGUGUCACGUCAGGAUGGAGAAGGGGGAGACCAGUUCUGGUCCGUGUGCAGACCUCAUCAGCUUGCUAAGAUGUUGUCUCUGAAUGGAGGACACUAGGGAGCAGCUUCUGGAAGCACUGUGAUGACGUAUGAGAGAAGUGCUUUGGACAGACUGGACCAUUCGGUGCAAGGAAAGGAGUCUACAAUCUUGGGAGUUUCAGACUCCAGGAGAGCAAGCCACAGGGAAUCCAGGCAAGUUUUGCAGCCAGUACAGCAUCAGCGCUCCAGCAAGCAAGGGGUUACCUUCAGGACUCCAUUCAGCCCAGCAAAAGUACCCAUCUGGCAGCGAUGCCCUCUCUGAAGAUGAACUUGGUGGGAUCAGUGCUAUGUAGGGACUGAGUUCAGUUUUGAGCCUAAUUUCCAUUUCUUUCUUUUUCCCACCGCCUCCACUGAAAUGGAAUAGUGGGGAUUAUGACACAUGAUGUUGAGGCAAAAUGCUUUUACAUUUGUUUUUGUUGUGUCUUUUGGGGUAAGUAUCUCUUUGUAAAAGUUAUCCCAUGCUAAGUGGUUAAGUGCCAGUCACUGUCCUCCUAAUAAAUGGGAGAAAUGGGUGGGAACUUGAACCAACAGCACCCUCCAGGGUGCUCUAGAAUCCUGAGGGGGAAGAUAUUAUAACCUGGACUUGAGCAGAGCCAGAGCAUUCUUGUUACCUUUGUUAUUCUGAACCUGACAGACGUUAACAAAUAUGAACAUUUUUAUAUGAGAAUGUAACAUGGUACAUGUGUAGACAUUCUCUGUGUAGUUUGGGUUCACUGCAUGAGAGCUUUGGAACAGUUUCUGGACAUGAAGUAACCAAUUACUGAAGGGACUUGGUGUUUUAAUAUUAUUUGAUAGACCUUUGGUUGUCACCCACCCCCACGGUAGUGGUGGGGGGCAGGGCAUGGUGGUAUGGUUCUGCAUCUAUUAGAAGAAUUCUGUUUCCAUCUGGUGGUUUCUGAUCUGUAGCUCUCCAGGUGGUAAAACAUGACUUCAGUGAGGGGUCCUUCUCUACCCUGGUAUUAGGGUAAUCCCAUCUACAUUGGCAACUGAUGCCAAGUACCACAACUGUGCAAGCUUGCCCCUGGGAACCUGGCUUCUCUUACCUCUUUGAUGUUUGUUCCUUCCUGAUUUUGAAUACUCUGAGAUAAAUGAGAUGGAUUUGUCCUAAGGACCUUGAAAAUUUGUAAGUUCUACUGGUCUGGGAGUUGGCAGCAGCAUUAUCCUCCCCAGCCCAACCUCCCAGCGAUGGUGUCUGAUGACAGGGAUAAGGUCUGCACUGGGGAAGGCCACUACCCACAGGUCCAAGCUGAGGUGAAUGGAAAUACAGAUAGGUUGUGAUUAAUGCACAUUAUGAAAUGGUACUAGGUCUCAUUUAAUGCUAAUCAGAAUUCAAUUAAUAUGACAAGUGUGAGCUUAUCAGUUUACACUUUCCCAUCAUUGGGUGUGGAUGUAAUAUACUGAUGCAUACCAUAUUAACCAACAGUUGUGUUGAUUUUCUUAAAUACCUUCACAUAAAGGACAAAAGGAGGAAUGUUUCAGAUGGAAACAAUGCCAACACACGAAAGAAGAAGCUCAUUAUUACAUUAGAACAAAAUCUUGAUGUAAUUGAACAACAUGAACAUGGUCAUAAAUCACUUUAAAGCAGAACAAGAUGUCUGAGUGCCUGAAUCUAUCACACAAAAUAUUAUAAAUCACACAGGAAAAUAAAAGACAAAGGCAAAUCCAUGUCAGCUUUUUGGUUUGCAAACAGCUAUGGGGAAUAGAAGUGUUACAACAGUAGUUUUGAAGAUUGCAGUCAAAAACACAUUCCUCUUAGUAGAGCAGCCAUUCAGACAAAAGCUUCAAAUUUAUUUAAGGCAAUAAAAGAAACUAGAAAUGAAGUGGAUAGUGAAGAACUCCUACUGUAAGCAUUGGUUGGUUGGACUGAUUUAAAAAUUGAGUCCAUUUGCAUACCAUUAAAAUUAUUGUAGAAGUGGCCUGUGAAGAUUAGGACGUGGAAGCUAAAUAUUUUAAUAUUUUAAAGACUUUAAAGGAUUUUAAAAUAUUUUAAAAUAAUCGAAGGCAGAUAAACCGAUCAACAAAUUUUUCAUGUGGAUAAAAUGUGCUUAUUCUGCAAAAGGAUGCCUUCCAGAACUUAAAUUUGUAACGAAGAAAAAACUCAACCUGGAUUUGAAGUACCUGUGGUUCGCCUAACAUUUUUAUUGAGAUGCAGUACAAAAGGGGAAUUUAAAUGAUAACCAAUACUUGUUAACUUGAGAAACUUACAACCAUUAAUGGCUUCCAGUUCUUUGGUAGUCAAUUAAGAAAGCAUGGGUGACGAAAGCUGCUUUCAAAGACUAGUUUUCAGGUUAUUUUAGUCCAACUUUUGAAAGAUACUUCAGGGACAACAAUAUCCUAUUUAAAGCAUUACUGAUUUUAGAUAGUACAGCCAUCCAACUAUACUUGGUUUGUUGUGGGAGAAAGUGAGCGUGCAAAUUUGCCAAAAUGUGGAUAAAGAUCAUUGCAUCUACCUGUACAUAUAUGAAGAUUUAAAGGUAGAGAAGAUAGUUCAG
Molecule: long non-coding RNA, 3519 nt
Organism: Trichosurus vulpecula (common brushtail)
Lineage: Eukaryota; Metazoa; Chordata; Mammalia; Diprotodontia; Phalangeridae
Exons: 3
Source: RefSeq, a predicted model, not a curated record